RNAcentral lists this ribosomal RNA (465 nucleotides) under Vreelandella stevensii. RNAcentral describes it as "partial 16S ribosomal RNA". It matches the Rfam family "Bacterial small subunit ribosomal RNA", at positions 338 to 795 of the family's 1533-position model. Lineage: Bacteria; Pseudomonadati; Pseudomonadota; Gammaproteobacteria; Oceanospirillales; Halomonadaceae. The record is from RNAcentral.
CCUACGGGUGGCUGCAGUGGGGAAUAUUGGACAAUGGGGGCAACCCUGAUCCAGCCAUGCCGCGUGUGUGAAGAAGGCCCUCGGGUUGUAAAGCACUUUCAGUGAGGAAGAACGCCUGGUGGUUAAUACCCAUCAGGAAAGACAUCACUCACAGAAGAAGCACCGGCUAACUCCGUGCCAGCAGCCGCGGUAAUACGGAGGGUGCGAGCGUUAAUCGGAAUUACUGGGCGUAAAGCGCGCGUAGGUGGCUUGAUAAGCCGGUUGUGAAAGCCCCGGGCUCAACCUGGGAACGGCAUCCGGAACUGUCAAGCUAGAGUGCAGGAGAGGAAGGUAGAAUUCCCGGUGUAGCGGUGAAAUGCGUAGAGAUCGGGAGGAAUACCAGUGGCGAAGGCGGCCUUCUGGACUGACACUGACACUGAGGUGCGAAAGCGUGGGUAGCAAACAGGAUUAGAUACCCUUGUAGUC